AUUGAACGCUGGCGGCAGGCCUAACACAUGCAAGUCGAGCGAGCGGAGGACGGGUGAGUAAUGUAUGGGGAUCUGCCUGAUGGCGGGGGAUAACUACUGGAACCGGUAGCUCAUACCGCAUAACAUCAGAUGAACCCAUAUGGGAUUAGCUAGUCGGUGAGGUAACGGCUUACCUAGGCGACGAUCCCUAGCUGGUCUGAGAGGAUGCUCAGCCACACGGGGACUGAGACACGGCCCAGACUCAUACGGGAGGCAGCAGUGGGGAAUAUUGCACAAUGGGCGCAAGCCUGAUGCAGCCAUGCCGCGUGUAUGAAGAAGGCCUUCGGUUUGUAAAGUACUUUCAGUCGGGAGGCGUUACCGACAGAAGAAGCACCGGCUAACUCCGUGCCAGCAGCCGCGGUAAUAC
Molecule: ribosomal RNA, 406 nt
Filed under: uncultured bacterium
Lineage: Bacteria
Description: partial 16S ribosomal RNA
Rfam family: Bacterial small subunit ribosomal RNA
Source: RNAcentral